RNAcentral lists this ribosomal RNA (486 nucleotides) under uncultured bacterium. Its description in RNAcentral is "partial 16S ribosomal RNA". It matches the Rfam family "Bacterial small subunit ribosomal RNA", at positions 30 to 507 of the family's 1533-position model. The record is from RNAcentral.
AUUGAACGCUGGCGACAUGCCUUACACAUGCAAGUCGAACGGCUGAACGGGUGCUUGCCCCUGGUGCCGCGUGGCGCGGGGGUGUGUAAUCCAUCGGAACAUGUCCUGUUGUGGGGGAUAGCCCGGCGACAGCCGGAUUAAUACCGCAUGCGAUCUACGGGUGAAAGCGGGGGCUCCUCAGCCCUCGCGCUCAGGGGUUGGUCGAUGGCUGAUUAGCUAGUUGGUGGGGUAAAGGCCUACCAAGGCGACGAUCAGUAGCUGGUCUGAGAGGACGACCAGCCACACUGGGACUGAGACACGGCCCAGACUCCUACGGGAGGCAGCAGUGGGGAAUUUUGGACAAUGGGCGAAAGCCUGAUCCAGCAAUGCCGCGUGUGUGAAGAAGGCCUUCGGGUUGUAAAGCACUUUUGGCCGGAAAGAAAUCCAUGGCCCUAAUACGGUGGGGUUAUGACGGUACCGGAAGAAUAAGCACCGGCUAACUACGUG